CUUGUUAGUUGUUACCCAAUUCAAUAUACAAUUUUCUCUCAGUUUAUUCAUGAAAUCGUAUAUUCUAGAAAUGCAUCCAUACAUUCAUCCUUUAUAUUUUGCGAAUCCAGAAACUUCGUUACACAUUGUCCUGCCUUUACUCUAGAAGGGCAUGAGUUUUGGGGAGUAGUGAAAUCGUGCUCCUGCCCUUUCACAAUUGCAACGAUGUCUAAACCUUGGCCGAGGAUAUCGGGGAGGUAAUCUGAGUUUUGUCACAGUUGUCUUGUUAUCUCAAAUCUCAUUAUUCGCACAAAAUUUCUAUGCGGCCAAACGCUGUGUAUUACUACAAGGAUAUGCAUCCGCUAAAUGUACGAAAGUUUGGAGCAGGCCCUCGGAGACCACACUCUUGUAUUUUCGGAUGCUAUAAUUUGAUUGAUGCUAUACAGCGAGGAGAGAAACUAAUGGAGCCUGUAAGCCAGCUCUAGAAUCUAAUUUCAUCACAUUACUGCAAGCAAGAAAGUAUUGUAGUUUCAGUGGUAUCAAGUUGCAUAAUGUUACGGAUACUCAGGAGAAAGCUGGGGGUGUUUGGGGUUGAGGCAGAUAGCGCAUGAAAAUCUGUGAGGUGAAGACAAAGGGUAGGUUGUUAUGCUUGACGUAAAUUGGUCAAUGGGUACUUAUCUACAGAGUAAUAUACAUGCUGGAAUUGAUCAUCCUGCUUUUGAAGGCGUUUUGACCAAAUCAACCUGAUUAAGCUUGCUGGUUACCUGGUUACAUAUUACGUGAUACAGGAACAACAGGGAUGUACAAGAGCACCAGAUGACUACGUUUCUUUUGUUGGCCUCCUUGCAGAUCCACACUAUUUUGAUUAUCUCACUAUGGAGGAGAAUGCUCCUGAAAAAGAGAUUUUACCAGUGAUUAACGUUCCUCCUAACUCUCCCUCCCUCUUGGGUUAUUUUAGAUAUUAGUAUUCAAUGUAAUCUUCUUGCAUGUUCAAACUUUUAAAACUACAGUGUUGGUGGAACUUUUGUGUCAAUUUUCAUGAAACAUCCCAUGAUUGAACUGAUAUUGUGCCCCUAUAUACUUUUGUUGUCACCUCAUCCUGUAGGUGUUCAUCAUUGGAAGAGUAAAGCAGGUAAAGAAGGGCUGAAGCCAUUAUAAGAAAAUGUGGAUGGAGCCUUUUUUGUGCAUGAUUUUGACAGAACAAUGGUUUGGUUAAUGAAACACCUUACCAAAAUAUUAUGAGCAUAAGAUGUGGUUUAUUAAGAGAUUAACGAUCUCGGAUUUACGGACUUGUUUUUUAAAAGCUUUAUUUGAGUGGAUAUCUGCUGCUGCCUUUCUCCAUAU
Long non-coding RNA from Alnus glutinosa, 1323 nucleotides. RefSeq lists it as uncharacterized. The record is from RefSeq and is a predicted model, not a curated record. The transcript has 6 exons. NCBI's taxonomy places the organism in Eukaryota, Viridiplantae, Streptophyta, Magnoliopsida, Fagales, Betulaceae.